AGCGUAGACGGCAGGGCAAGCCAGAUGUGAAAGCCCGGGGCUCAACCCCGGGACUGCAUUUGGAACUGCUGAGCCAGAGUAUGUGAGAGGAAAGUAGAAUUCCAGGUGUAGCGGUGAAAUGCGUAGAGAUCUGGAGGAAUACCGAUGGCGAAGGCAGCUUUCUGGCAUAAUACUGACACUGAGACUCGAAAGCGUGGGGAGCAAACA
Molecule: ribosomal RNA, 207 nt
Filed under: uncultured bacterium
Lineage: Bacteria
Description: partial 16S ribosomal RNA
Rfam family: Bacterial small subunit ribosomal RNA
Source: RNAcentral